This 87-nucleotide unclassified non-coding RNA is filed under the name Pseudomonas helmanticensis. Lineage: Bacteria; Pseudomonadati; Pseudomonadota; Gammaproteobacteria; Pseudomonadales; Pseudomonadaceae. The record is from RNAcentral.
UGUAGGAGUGAGCCUGCUCGCGAUUCAGGCGCUGCGGUUUAUCUACGAAACCGCGGUGUUGCCAUCGCGAGCAGGCUCACUCCUACA